This 110-nucleotide ribosomal RNA is filed under the name uncultured bacterium. RNAcentral's name for it is "partial 16S ribosomal RNA". It matches the Rfam family "Bacterial small subunit ribosomal RNA", at positions 1373 to 1482 of the family's 1533-position model. The record is from RNAcentral.
CCCGGGUCUUGUACACGCCGCCCGUCACACCAUGGGAGCGGGAUGUACCAGAAGUAGGUAGGCUAACCGCAAGGGGGCCGCUUACCACGGUGCGUUUCGUGACUGGGGUG